This 1348-nucleotide long non-coding RNA is filed under the name Theobroma cacao (cacao). RNAcentral's name for it is "long non-coding RNA (TCAC_LNC005125)". Lineage: Eukaryota; Viridiplantae; Streptophyta; Magnoliopsida; Malvales; Malvaceae. The record is from RNAcentral.
UUUAUUUUUUAUCAUUUUCAACUGUUUACUAAAAGUAAAGAGAGAUAGAAAGCUAGGAGGAGUUGCCGUCGGCGACGAUCAAAAACAUGCAGAGACAUCAGAUCUGGUUUUUAAGGCCAAAUUCGGCCAUGAACAGCCUCUUUUUAGACCUUAAACAAGCCAGAUCUGUUAAUGCCCCAUUCCGCCAUCUCUAAUGGCAGCCGGUGGUGCAACCUUGCCGGCGGGCCCCCUCGUCUCUUCACUUUCUCUUUCUCUUCAGAUCAAAUUGAGGGUAUGGUUGUCCUUUCAAUUUCCUUCUCAAUAAUUACUAUCGUUUUAUUUCGUUGUUGAUAAAUGUAUUUUAAUAUGAUAGUUGACUCUAAAUACUCUUGGUCUAGUGCCCUUUUUUGUAAUUCACCCUUUUAUUCGUCUGUUUCAAUUUUAUAAUAAUAAAAGGAAUCUCUAAAUUUAAUAUUUAUCUCUGAAGCUGUAACACAUAUUAUUAAUCUCAUUUAGUGACACAGGAUUAUAUUAUUAAUUCUAAAUAUGCUAUCCACCUUCAACAAUCAUUAUAAUCACACAACAUUUGCAAUGAUAUUAAUAAUUAAAAUAUUUAUAAAAAAGAAUAUUAUAAGAAGUCUUUAUAGAACCAAUAGUGAAAGAUAAUAUUUUAAAUUUAUUACGUAACGUAUUGUUCUUACCAAACUCAAAAUAUUAUAUUGCAGCAAACACACAAAUCCGUAUAUUAAUUAACACCUUAACUAGUACUCAUAAUAUUUUUUUAAAAAAAAUUGAAAUAAAUAUUUAUGGAUAGUGGACACUUCCUUAUAUUUUUCGAAAAAUAAAUACUACAAUAAUGUUUUUUUUCUUUAAAUAGUGUUUCGAUAUUGUAUCCAAAUAUUUGAUUCAAUAGCGAGUGCAUAGAUUACAUAGUCAUUAUUUAAAAAAAAAAUUAACUUGAUAGAGUGUGUAAUACUCACGCUUAUAAGCCUAUUAAUGUCUUUUUAUAUGUUCAACAUGAAAUUUAAAAUUGAAUACCAUGAUUUGAUAUCAAUUAACAAGUCUUUUGGGACAGUCCUUUAUAUCAGCCUAAUUAAGAAGCCAUCAUUAAAGGUAGUGAAAUAGAAGUACAAAUAAAGCUGAGUUGGAGUUGGGAUAAAGCCAUAGAAGAGAAGGGAAGAAAAGUACAGAGCAGCUGUAGUAAUUGAAAGAACAUCUAACAAACAACACCAACUCUUUUGAUGAACAGCAAAUCCCAAUGCUGGGAGAAUUUAAGGUGGGGAGGGUGAACCAUCUAACACCAAAAAAAGUCUUGUAUACCAAAUUGCCUCUCUCUUUCUUUAUUUUUCUCUCUGAAUGUUUAUUAUAG